GGGGGGGGGGGGGGGGGAACUGCAUACCGUCUCCUUUAUAAAACAAAGUGGUCUAUCACCGGCCCCGGAUUCACACACAGUGACAAAAAAGAGUGUGCUUUCAUAUGCUAAUUCUACUUGGUUCAAGCUUAUUUGACGGCAGUCUGUAAAUCCGGUUUAUGCUCCGCCAAUUGACUGUUCAAGUUAGAAAAUACGCCAGCCUGAAAGCGCAGGAAGUUGCUGUUCCAAAUUGAUCUUAGAGUCAUGAAAAUCCUCGAAAAGUAAUAUUCUCGGGUUUUCCCUUUUUAAAUGUAUUAUCAAUCACUUUAAAAAAAAAAAUCUACAUAUCAGCCCUGAUCAGAAUUAGGCCUUUACCCUUCAGCAUGUGUGUGCUGAGAAUCAUCUGUUUAAUAAAGAAUCAAUUAAAAAAAUAUAUAUACAUUUUAAAAAAUCUGUGUGCCAGUGCAGUUGACUGAGGAGAGAGAGAGAUGUUUCAGCAGCAGGUAGAAAUAUAAAAUAACGCUAGGCUAACUAAAUAGCCAAUUCAAAACAUAACUAGCCAUGCUACAGGUUAUCUCGCUAGUUAGCGUUUUUUUUGUUUCGUUUGUCGCUAUAGACCUAAGCAUUAAUGUCGUUGACUCCAAUGGUUCUGUUGAGAAAUACAUCUGACACCGUUAUAUGAAAGCUGGGAUUCCCCUCUAUUAAAGGCUACGUAAUACCAACAAAUGUCUAAGAAUAGCCUAAUUGAAAAAUAGCUUCCAUGGUCUGCAUACAUAUAAGGUUAUUGAUAACCAUGUCUCAGUUAGCUACCUUCCUUUUGAAGUAACCGAAUUCAUCCAUUUUAUCCCUGAUUCAUUGAACGAGGAAAUAAUUAUAUAAAGACAUAAAAGUAUCUGGCUGUAAUAUUGUAACCUUGUAUAUUAGGGGUGGCCAACCAUCGUCCAGGAGAGCUACUGGGGGUGCAGGCUUUUAUUCCAGCCCUGCUCUAAUACUCCACACUGUAGCCUAAACAUCAGCCCUGCUCUAAUACUCCACACUGUAGCCUAAACAUCAGCUGCUCAACAGGACCUUGCUAUAAGCAGACUCGGAUGUGUUUCAGGGCUGCCUGCAUGCCCAGUAGCUCUCCAGAUGGAAGGUUGACCACACGUGUUUUAUACAGUAGUCCAACAAUAAAGUUAUUCUACUUUGUUGGGGGUUAAGUGCCUUGAUCAAAGGGCACAACGGCAGGAGAUAGUAGGCCAACAUGGAAUCAGAGACCAGUAACCUUCUAGUGUCAAUACCACAUUUAUUCAGACUUUUAAAUGUAGGCUAUAUAGAGACGCUACCAAUUAUCGGUCAUGGAAAUUUGCUUAAAAGUUAUCCGAAGUCAUGAAAAAGUCAUAAAAUUCCAUCUGUCAAAAUUGUGCAUGAACCUUUAACAGUGAAUAAUCAGAGGUCUCUGUCGCAUCAUUUCAUUUAGGAAUUUUGCUGAACAUAUUAAAAUGGAUGGACUUGGCAAAAUACAGCUCCUGCACCUCUUUCAUCCCAAGUCAAGCACUGUGGGUAGUAGAGUUGUAAUAGGUCGUUAUCAAUAGAAACGGAACAAUACGGUGCAGAGCGUUCCCUUUUACCUGCCAGGUGAGGCGAGGAGACUCCCAGCUCAGCUCAAACCAUGGACAACUCCGUGCCGGUUAAGCGAUUCCAAGGGAUUCAACUAUUUGGUUGUAACAUCAUCACCUCGUAAAGACCAUAGUCUGAACUAUAAAUGUGUCCUUGACCCCUAGCGGCUAAAUCGAACGUGCUGCACCGUAUUGUGAUGUUUUAUUGGUAACGGCCAAUUGAAUGAAUACUAGAAAUCUUUCUUUUAUUUAAAAAAAUAACUCUGUUUUUUGUUUUUGUUUAUUUAAAAGUAUUUUAUAGUUUGGGCCAAGACUUGGCCAUGAAUGGAGCAUUGAGAACCCCAAAAACAUUCAACAGAAAAGACAAAUACAGAAGCACAACAACCAUCCCCCCCUUGAACAUCAGUGUUACCUUGACAACUGCUAGUUACCCUCAGGAAUGGUUCUGCUUAGCGUUGCAAAAUUCCUGAAAUCUUUCCCAGAAUUCCUGGGGUUAUUCUCCAGAAAUUCAGGUUGGAGGAUUUUGCAACCCUAGUUAAAAUAAGAGGAGAGAAAUUGGCUUUCCCUUUAUUCAACCAAUAAUAAUAGUAUAAAACAACCUACUGUACUCCAUAUCAGACCGUAGUGUUUAAUACAUAAACAGUAGACAGUCUUUGAUUUGAUGUUUUGUUUUGUUGAUAUAUUGGUUCUUAGCCCCCCCUUGUGCAUACGGCUGGCUGUAUAUUGCAUCUGCUAAAUGUGGUAACUAGUGAAAGAUGUUGUUAGAUUUUGGGAUCCCUUAAUACCCUCAGAUUUGUAUAUUAGCCAAUUGAUCUACUGAAGGGAGAAAAAAAAAUCGCUACACUUUUUAUUUGUCAUUGCUAAUAUCUUUUCCGCACAAGGCAUGUAUAUACUGUGUAAGUGCAGAAUUUUGGUAAUACACAUUUUGACAAGUUUUUAUUUUAUUUUAUUUGACCAUUUUCCAAAUCUCAUCUUUAAUUUAUUUGAUUUCAAAAUACAAUUUAAUUGAGGAGGACACUGGUUUGUUGUAGUGUUGGUGGCAUGCUCUGCUGCAGAUCUGAAAGGUGUUGUUGGAGAAACGAGUGUCAGGGGUCAAUAGGUAAAGUUAGGAAAACCCACCACACAUUGUUAGCUAGCUUGUUAGCUAGCUUUGUUAGCUAACUGUUUAGCUAGGUUCAUUAGCUAGCUCCAACACCUCACGUCGUUAGCUAGCUCGCUAGCUAGUUUUGUUAGCUAACUGUUUAGCUAGGUUCAUUAGCUAGCUCCAACACCACAUUUUGUUAGCUAUUUUAUUAGCUAGCUUUGUUAGCUUACUGUUUAACUAGGUUCAUUAGCUAGCUCCAACACCUCACGUCGUUAGCUAGCUCGUUAGCUAGUUUUGUUAGCUAACUGUUUAGCUAGGUUCAUUAGCUAGCUCCAACACCACACUUUGUUAGCUAUUUUAUUAGCUAGCUUUGUUAGCUAGCUCCAACAAAAAUCGGGUUGAUCUUUCACAGUCACUACUAGCGAUUAUAUCAUGUUGUCAUUAUCACUUCUGGUAAUAAUAAAGCAUUUACACACGAUAUCCAGAUUGAAAGUUUCUGAACAAUAUCAUUAGAUUCAUACUUUCAAGGUUACAGAAUCAAUGGGGUUAAAGGUCACCCAUUACACAGUGAUUUUUUUUCUAGAAUGUUUUAUAUGACACGACACAAUGUAGAUUAUAUAAGAACCAAUAGUUGACACAUUAUAGAUUCCAACGUAUCAUUAAAACCAAGCUGAAAGUCUUCAUUUAGAUGUAGAGACACGUUUAGUGUGUAGCAGAGACUGGAUGUUCACAGGUCACAAUAGGAACAUAAUAAGGAGGCAAAUUUAGCCAAAAAACUCCCAGGUUUUACUGAAAUGCCGGUUGUAAAGAUUCCCAGAAUCAGGAGGGAAGAAGCAGAAAAUCCAGAAUAUUCCAACCAGGAUUUAUUGAAAACCUGGGGGGGAAAAAAAUAAUUGGGGGGGGAAUUACAAAUAAUCUUGAACCAUUGUAACAUACUGUACCUACAAAUACAGGCCUUGUAAUACAGGCCAUAAAUCACUCUUUAUCGGCCUGAGUUAGGACUGCCUAAUGUUGUUUUUUAAGCAUUUUAUGUUACGUUGAAAUCUGAUGUUUAGGAAUUGGAUUUGCUAUAGUCAUAUUUUGCUGUCAAUAUUUCUCACUCUGGGCAUUAAAACACAUUGAACAUUGCUGAGGUGAAACGUAUGUUGCUGCAGAAAGUGCCUCGAUCCCAAAUGAACUCCUCACAGGGUUCACUUACCCCAUUAAUCUCAUCAUCUGUCUGGAGGAACUGCAAAACUCUAUGGCUGUUUACACACGCAGCCCAUUUCCUGAUAUUUUGCUCAAUUAUAAGGCAAAAUACCCGAUCUGAUUGGUCAAAAGACCAACUACUGACUAAAACGAUCAGAACCUGGCUGCCUGUGUAAACGCAGCCUUUAUGACAAGCUUAUAAGAAAAUGGUGUAGUCACCAUUAGGCUGGCUAGACAGACUCUGUACCCAUUAGGCUGGCUAGACAGACUCUGUACCCAUUAGGCUGGCUAGACAGACUCUGUACCCAUUAGGCUGGCUAGACAGACUCUGUACACAUUAGGCUGGCUAGACAGACUCUGUACCCAUUAGGCUGGCUAGACAGACUCUGUACCCAUUAGGCUGGCUAGACAGAUCCUGUACCCCAUAGGCUGGCUAGACAGACUCUGUACCCAUUAGGCUGGCUAGACAGACUCUGUACCCAUUAGGCUGGCUAGACAGACUCUGUACACAUUAGGCUGGCUAGACAGACUCUGUACCCAUUAGGCUGGCUAGACAGACUCUGUACCCAUUAGGCUGGCUAGACAGACUCUGUACCCAUUAGGCUGGCUAGACAGACUCUAUACUCCAUAGCCUGGUUAAUGAUGAUACGUUUACAGUCCAUAUCUUUCUUCUUUUGUCCAUUAUCCGUAAAUCGUUGAUGAUGAUAAAACUUGUAUGAGAAUAAAGAAGCAGCUCUGAAGUACCA
Molecule: long non-coding RNA, 4595 nt
Organism: Salvelinus fontinalis (brook trout)
Lineage: Eukaryota; Metazoa; Chordata; Actinopteri; Salmoniformes; Salmonidae
Exons: 2
Source: RefSeq, a predicted model, not a curated record